This 658-nucleotide unclassified non-coding RNA is filed under the name Bombus terrestris (buff-tailed bumblebee). RNAcentral's name for it is "misc RNA ENSBTSG00005028544.1". The record is from RNAcentral. Lineage: Eukaryota; Metazoa; Arthropoda; Insecta; Hymenoptera; Apidae.
UUACAAAACUAUCGUACAAAUCUUUAACUCUUGGCCUUACUGUUUCUGUUUCUUCUUCCUCCAUUUGUGUGGCUGAGAAUGGUUGAUAUGAGCUUACCGUCUUUUCUGUACUGUUUAAUUUUCUUACUAAACCACGUGGUCUUUUAAAAGAUUGUUCUGGUCGUUUAGUAGUUUUUGGAGCAGUAAUUACUCCAGAUUUUAUCAAUUUCUUGGCAACUUCCCUGGCAUCCCUAGCUUCUGUUGGCCGCUUUGGAGCUUGUGGUAUUCGUUCAGUUUCUUGCUUUGGUGCUUUCAAAUCUUCUUGUUAUAUUUCGCCUGCAACAUCAAUUCUUCUUCUGUUAAAUUAGAAGGAAAGUGUCGUUUCAUCCAAUACGAUUUCUUGUGGUGGACCAAUGUGAAAUUUGAUAGGAUACCAACGUCGGACAAAAACAAUGACUUGAUUGUUAUUGGUAACUGGAUCUUUAUCAGGUAACUCUUGUACAAUCAUUUCAAAUUGAGAAUAAUAUUGGAAAUCUUUAAACUUUUGAUGAUCUAAAAGUACUUUUGAAGGUAACACAAAACACUUUUCCCUUAAUCGACAUCUUUCAUAUGGUAUUUCUAUAUUAUAUCUUCUUUUCAUUUCUGCAAGAAUCUCUUUUUUCGCCUGCCCAACAGUCAU